Molecule: ribosomal RNA, 583 nt
Filed under: uncultured bacterium
Lineage: Bacteria
Description: partial 16S ribosomal RNA
Rfam family: Bacterial small subunit ribosomal RNA
Source: RNAcentral
UGGGGAAUUUUGGACAAUGGGCGAAAGCCUGAUCCGCAAUGCCGCGUGUGUGAAGAAGGCCUUCGGGUUGUAAAGCACUUUUGUCCGGAAAGAAAUCCUUGGCUCUAAUACAGUCGGGGGAUGACGGUACCGGAAGAAUAAGCACCGGCUAACUACGUGCCAGCAGCCGCGGUAAUACGUAGGGUGCAAGCGUUAAUCGGAAUUACUGGGCGUAAAGCGUGCGCAGGCGGUUUGCUAAGACCGAUGUGAAAUCCCCGGGCUCAACCUGGGAACUGCAUUGGUGACUGGCAGGCUAGAGUAUGGCAGAGGGGGGUAGAAUUCCACGUGUAGCAGUGAAAUGCGUAGAGAUGUGGAGGAAUACCGAUGGCGAAGGCAGCCCCCUGGCCAAUACUGACGCUCAUGCACGAAAGCGUGGGGAGCAAAACAGGAUUAGAUACCCUGGUAGUCCACGCCCUAAAACGAUGUCAACUAGUUGUUGGGGAUUCAUUCCUUAGUAACGUAGCUAACGCGUGAAGUUGACCGCCUGGGGAUACGGUCGCAAGAUUAAAACUCAAAGGAAUUGACGGGGUCAUAGCUGUUUCCU